This 305-nucleotide ribosomal RNA is filed under the name uncultured eukaryote. Its description in RNAcentral is "SSU rRNA". It matches the Rfam family "Eukaryotic small subunit ribosomal RNA", at positions 111 to 414 of the family's 1831-position model. The record is from RNAcentral.
UAUGGUUCCUUAGAUCGCACUUACUACUUGGAUAACUGUGGUAAUUCUAGAGCUAAUACAUGCGCAGAGCCCCAACCCUCGUGGAAGGGGCGCUUUUAUUAGAUCAAAGCCAAUCGAGUUUCGGCUCGUUUCUUUGGUGACUCUGAAUAACUUUGCUGAUCGCAUGGUCUUGUACCGGCGACGUAUCUUUCAAGUGUCUGCCUUAUCAACUUUCGAUGGUACGUUAUGCGCCUACCAUGGUUGUAACGGGUAACGGGGAAUUAGGGCUCGAUUCCGGAGAGGGAGCCUGAGAAACGGCUACCACA